Molecule: long non-coding RNA, 1454 nt
Organism: Vicia villosa (hairy vetch)
Lineage: Eukaryota; Viridiplantae; Streptophyta; Magnoliopsida; Fabales; Fabaceae
Exons: 5
Source: RefSeq, a predicted model, not a curated record
UUCUAACCUUAUGAGAACUCGAAAUGCAGAUUCGUCUUUUAAAUCCCUAACCCCUAAGAAGACACCGCCAGCAAAAGAAUCCGCCGGAGAAUCUUCCGUCGCAAACGCACGUCUCCAUCCAAAACCAGAAGCGCCAAGAAGAUGGAAGCAUCGUCCGCAACCAAUCCUAUAUCCGAUUCCAAUUCAGAUCAAUUUGAGCAGCAAAAAUCAUUAUCUAGUGCUACUACCGCUGCGAAAUCUGCAAAGAGGAAAACACUAGGUAAACUGGGGAGAACAGUGGUUGUUACUAAUCCAAAUUUGGAAGAGCAUUUGGUGGCUGAAGCUGAUGAAGCAGCAUAGAAAGUGGCUGAAGCUGGUGAAUCUAGUGAAACUUCAUGGAUGUUGCAUUGAAGGGGAUCAAUUAAUAUUGGUGUAUGAGUACAUGGAAAAUAAUAGCUUGGCCCAUGCUUUAUUCAUAGAGUUUUUACUCAUAAGUACAAUGGUCAUUAUGAGAAAUUUCUAUGAAAUCUGAGUAUGACUUCUUUUUGCACAUUCUAUAGGUUCAGAAAAUCGGAUUAAACUUGAUUGGCCAUCAAGGCUUAGGAUCUGCAUUUGCAUAGCAAAAGGUCUUGCAUUUCUUCACGAAGAAUCAAGACUCAAGGUUGUUCAUUGAGAUAUCAAAGCUACUAAUGUGUUUACACUUUUGGAGUUGUAGUCUUGGAAACUAUUAGUGGAAAGAGUAAUAACAGUGAGCAUGUCAUUGACAAAACAUGUAAAGUCAUAAGUUAUUCUGUUUACCCUGUCAAUAUUCCAAAUUCUAUUAUCUCACGCAGAAUUGCAGGAGUGAAAUGGGUAAUCAGAGCCGACAUGGACAGGAAGAUCAAAUUUUGCUGCAUCUAGUCUAAUGCUGCUAAGCCAUAUUUGAGAGCAUCCGGUUUUGAACAAGAGGAUGUCUUGCACCACCUUUUAUUUAAAGAACUUGAAUGUAUUCUCUUAGGGAUCUUCAGGUGGAUAUGACACCCUGGAAGAACUAUUGGAAGUGAUCAUUUGGGCUCAACUAGGAAUCCAUGAUAAACCAGUGGGUUUGUUGAACGUAGAUGGUUACUAUAACUCUUUGUUGUCAUUUUGGAUUGGAUUCUUCCAGGUUCAUUCCCUAUUAAAGGACCUGGUUCACAAAGCUGUUAGCGAGACUCUGGUUUGUUCCCGGGACCUCUCAUUUAAUGUUCCUGUUGUAUUUCUUGCUGUUAUAUCUGUGCUCAGUUAAUUGUAUAACUUGUGUGCUCUCAUUUUUUCGGAGCAUUUUAGUGACAAGGUUCAUUUUGCAACAUCAUUUUAAUGACUUCAGUUUUAGAAAUCGAAAAUGUUCAGAGGAGAGGUUUUUGAGGUGUUGUUUGGUUGAGUGUUCUAAUUUCUAACUAUCCCUCUGUAUUUGCUUUGAGAAUUCUAAUGUAGGUUAUCUUUUUAUAUAAUGAUAU